RNAcentral lists this transfer RNA (84 nucleotides) under Spirochaetes bacterium GWF1_41_5. RNAcentral's name for it is "tRNA-Leu". It matches the Rfam family "tRNA". From Rfam's summary of the family: Transfer RNA (tRNA) molecules are approximately 80 nucleotides in length. RNAcentral also lists the same sequence under 1 other name. Lineage: Bacteria; Pseudomonadati; Spirochaetota. The record is from RNAcentral.
GCGAGCGUGGCGGAAUCGGCAGACGCGAUGGACUCAAAAUCCAUUGACAGCAAUGUCAUGAGGGUUCGACCCCCUCCGCUCGCA